AGGCUCGUGCUUGUGUGGCAAGCCCUUUGUCAGCUCAGCCGUUUUCCUGGGCCCCACUGUCCCCAUUUUGUAGGGCCCCACUUUGCCUUCUGCCAUCAGAUCUGCAAACAGCACACAACAGAGUGAGCCCAUGCUACAGAGUGAGCCAGUCUGCGGGCUGAACCCAGGUCCUUGGUCACAGGGCAAGCCAAGGCCCGUAGCAAGGCUGGUAGUGAUGGCAGUGCCUUGCAUGCAUCUAGAGGGUCACAGUGGGGGGUUCCUGGAGCUUGCAGCUGGCUCUGAAGUGAGGGAGCCCCCUGGGGUUGGGCUCUUAGCCUAUGGAAUCCAAUAUUAAUCCCAGGAGGCUAGAGUCACAGCCGAACUGAUGCUGGGUGCCCACUGGUGUUGGACAGAAAUUGCAUCUUGCAAUGAAGCUGAAGUGGAGCAUACCUACGUGACCACUCUGGUAGCCCCUGACCUGCGGAAAAUGUCCUCAAGGAGAGCUAAGUUGGGAUACGAGUCUGUCAAGCAAGGGCAACCUGUAGAACAGCAUCUGCCACCUGCUCUGUGUGUGUGUGUGUGUGUGACACCUUCGCCCCUGCUCCUAGGCAGCUUUCAGGAUAGUAAACCGACUUCCGUUCUCCCCAGGGGAGUUCAGGUCUGAUGCCUGGGGCUGCCCUUGCCCAAGCACACACCACAAGCAUCUGACUUCACUGCUGAACAAACAAGUGUCUGGGUCCCCCACGUCCCCACCCCUCACUGUGACCUCCUCACCCCCUCACUCUUAGCUACGAACAUUCCUUAGAAGUUCGGUCUUUCCACAGGCAGCGGCUGGAGUGUUGCACGGGGGAGAGUCUGCACAGUUCCUUUCCCACAGUUCUGUGCAGGAGUCUGAUGAGCUCUGGUUCAGCCCAGAGGUGGCUGCAGAGCUCUGGGACCCAGGUAGCUUGUUAUUACUUUAAAUAGGAGCAGGGCCCAGGGGUAGCCUUUUGUUUUUUUUCCUUGGGUGGCGAUGGACAUUCAUUCUGACUUCUGUCACAUACUUCCCCGUAACACACGGGAACACGGGUUGUUGGCCCCACGCACAAGACAGCUGCCAGCCCGCAGGAAGCCUCACGAUGCCUCUCACUGCCUGCAGGGGGCUAACUCGAUUCUCUAAUGAAGUGCAAGUAAUAACAUCCCCGGCUCUGUUCCCAUCAGCAACGAUCCAGGAUGCGGUGAGAGCGUCAGAUUCAGCGUCCCCUGUUCCACUCAGCAGCAUCUGUGGUCAGUGUACCCACGGUGUAAGAGUCCCCCCCCCCCAGGUUCCCUUUGAGGUCCCUGGCUGUCACAAGAGGUGUAGUGCGGACACCAUUUCUGGACUGGAAAUAUAUUAGUACGCAGUGUGUUCAGCUUAAUGCAGUUCAAACCUCUUCUCUCGUCUCCAUUACCCACAUCCAUAAACGAACCAAGGACUCGCAACCCAGAGUCCUGCCCUUCUCUGGAUUUGGGGCUCUGGAAGAGGAAGUGGGUACAGCUUCCCCAUCAUAGCAGCAGGCUGAAGGAGGAGGCAAGGCCCCAACCGCAGCCCUAAAAAUCCUCCUGGGCUCUGAUGGGGAGUUAAACCCAGAUGGUAUCCCACAUCUACAUCAGAGAGUGACACUGAAGUGGCCUUAGUCGAGGUCAGAGGCAGAGGACAGCAACCUUCAACACCCAUGUGUGAUAGCCACUCCUAGCCAGAGGGAGGGAAACAUCUGGAAGGCCAUCUCCCUGCAUUCUCGCUCAGAGACCCCAAGGAGGGAAUGCAGCUCACUCCCACACACCCGCGCCCGUCGCUCCCUUCCUCCGGAAACGCUCUAACCCCUGGACUUGCUGCAGCCAUGGAAGGCUAUAAGCACAACUGCAUAGGAAUGCUUGGAGGGGCCUCAGGGACAUCUGCUCAUGGAGGUUACAGUAAUCCUGAGAUACAAGGUUUGGGGGACAGACUUCUGCCUGUCGUGUUCCGCAUUCCCAGGGGGGCCAAGGAUGACUUCAGUUUCUGUUUAUCUGGAGACUGGCAGUUGCUCUGUGGAAUGUGACUUCUAAGUGUCAAGGAGUGAGGUGGCCCAGGGAAACAAAGGGCUUGAGCGGAUGACUGACAGGUACACAUGGCCCUGAUGCUGUUACCGGGAGCAGUGGCUACUUGGUGCACCGUGCCCUAGAGAGGUCAACCAAGGUGUCUGCGGCUCACCACUACAGCAAGGAGUAGCUCCGCUUUGUGUCUUCUAAUACCCAAUGGGCUCUGGGAAAGGACAAGUGGCAGCCUGCAGGAAGAUCCUUCCAGGAGCUUCUUGUCUCCAUCACAGGGCUGAGGCUUAGGACUGGUGAGGCACUCACAUGUCCCCCAGGAAUGGAAGGAGAGAGAGGCACGCAUGGAAAGACUUCCACCUGGGCAGCUGCGUUCUCACUUCACGCUUUCCGCAGACUUGAGCUCCAUGCUGGAGCACAAAAGCCCCGUCGAGCAGCGUCGGGGUGCCGAGCAUGGCCUCUGCCUGGCUAGCACACUUCACUGACAGCUAACGCAGUGGCGUGUUAGCUUAGUCACCCAGACGGCGGCAUCUCAAGCAGGAUCUCGAGGAAGCAGAGGAAGAAGCUCCCAUGCCCAAUCCCCACGAGUCAAUGCCACCUUACAGCGACAAAAAUAAAAUUGGAAGAAUUUUCCUCAGUGGCAA
This is a long non-coding RNA of Mesocricetus auratus (golden hamster), 2669 nucleotides long. RefSeq lists it as uncharacterized. The transcript is spliced from 2 exons. NCBI's taxonomy places the organism in Eukaryota, Metazoa, Chordata, Mammalia, Rodentia, Cricetidae. The record is from RefSeq and is a predicted model, not a curated record.